CCCUUAGAUGCUCUGGGCCGCACGCGCGCUACACUGGUCGAUGCAACGAGUUUCUUUCCUUGGCCGACAGGCCUGGGCAAUCUUUGAACAUCGAUCGUGAUCGGGAUAGAUUCUUGUAAUUUUUGAUCUUAAACGAGGAAUUCCUAGUAAACGCAAGUCAUCAGCUUGCAUUGAUUACGUCCCUGCCCUUUGUACACACCGCCCGUCGCACCUACCGAUUGAAUGGUCCGGUGAAAUCUCCGGACUGGCGUGAGUCGGAGCAAUCUGACAAACACCGGAAAGUUGAUUAAACCUUACCAUUUAGAGGAAGGUGAAGUCGUAACA
RNAcentral lists this ribosomal RNA (324 nucleotides) under uncultured eukaryote. Its description in RNAcentral is "partial 18S ribosomal RNA". It matches the Rfam family "Eukaryotic small subunit ribosomal RNA", at positions 1470 to 1796 of the family's 1831-position model. The record is from RNAcentral.